AAGAUCUCUCGGUCGCUUUUGAAAUGUCAAGAGUUUAUUCUGAGAGGUCUUUACUGGGUGAUUGAGAGCCUGAAAGCCAAGUGCUCCUGUGUUGUGGAGAGAAGGGAAGCGGCUGUUUUGAUGCUGAGCGGCUUGCAGCAUACUGAGCUGAAGGCCUUUGUGUUGUAUGAGUCUGUUUCUGGAGGGAACGGUAGUCCAGAGCUGAAGGAUCUGGCUGAGGUGAAAACAAGGCUGCAGACUGUGAGUAUGUAG
Molecule: long non-coding RNA, 252 nt
Filed under: Chrysemys picta bellii (western painted turtle)
Lineage: Eukaryota; Metazoa; Chordata; Testudines; Emydidae
Description: lncRNA (ENSCPBG00000001858.1)
Source: RNAcentral